RNAcentral lists this ribosomal RNA (397 nucleotides) under uncultured bacterium. Its description in RNAcentral is "bacterial SSU rRNA". It matches the Rfam family "Bacterial small subunit ribosomal RNA", at positions 28 to 406 of the family's 1533-position model. The record is from RNAcentral.
GAUGAACGCUGGCGGCGUGCUUAACACAUGCAAGUCGAACGAACGACUAUUAACAGAACCUUUCGGGGCGAAGAAUAUAGAAGUUAGUGGCGGACGGGUGCGUAACGCGUGGGUAAUCUGCCUUUGUCAAAGGAAUAACUAUUCGAAAGAAUAGCUAAAACCGUAUAACAUAUUAAUAGGGCAUCCUAAUAAUAUCAAAACGAUAGUGGACAAAGAUGAGCCCGCGUCUGAUUAGCUAGUUGGUGAGAUAAAAGCCCACCAAGGCAACGAUCAGUAGCCGACCUGAGAGGGUGAACGGCCACAUUGGAACUGAGACACGGUCCAAACUCCUACGGGAGGCAGCAGUGGGGAAUAUUGCACAAUGGGGGGAACCCUGAUGCAGCAACGCCGCGUGAGU